Long non-coding RNA from Centrocercus urophasianus (Greater sage-grouse), 1530 nucleotides. RefSeq lists it as uncharacterized. The record is from RefSeq and is a predicted model, not a curated record. The transcript is spliced from 7 exons. NCBI's taxonomy places the organism in Eukaryota, Metazoa, Chordata, Aves, Galliformes, Phasianidae.
CACCUUGCUCCCUGCCCUCCUGUAGUACUACAGUGUGCUCAGCCUGUAGCAAAGUGCUGUGAGGAAAGGCUGAGUUUCCCCUUGUUCAGCACUGUUGCUAAGAUGGUUUCUGCCAGCCCGAGGAUCCCACCCUCUUCCAGAGACACAGGUCCUGACCAUCUGCUCAGAGAGAAGGUCCAUACAGCCACACAGAACUCCCCAGACCUCAUGGGACUCUGCACCAGUGGGAUUCUGCAGACAUAUAUUUGCAGUAUCACAGUCAGCAACAGCACAAGCUUGCACUGAUGAAUAAAGCCCAUCAAGAAAUACUGCUUCCAGUAAUGCAAGAGUGUUCCUGUGAGCAUUUAAAGCCACAACUCAAAACCUUCUAAAUGUUACCUACACACCUUCUACCACAGAAAUGCACAGGUUAGAACUUGUAACUGGCUGGGGACUUGAGUCUGUCUGUCUUCAUAUCACCAGAGUCCAAAACCACUCUACUUCCUAUGCCCAAAGGAAAAGUAACAUCUGUUGUGACAGAUUUAUGCAUAUGCUCACCCUUGCUUCAGAGUAAAGAUCUGCAGUGACACUGACUUGCAAAAUGCAGUGAAGACACAGGUAGAGCACAGAAUCUGUCUUGUCACAGAUAAGAAGCCUUUUCCACAAAGAAGUCUUUCACAGAACUGGAGAUGGACCUAAAGCAAACUGGAUCUCAAAUGACCUGACACCUAUCUGCCUAACAACAGGAAACUGAAGUAAGUGUCAUUACUGUUCUUUGAUCAGGUUAAAAUGGAUCAAUGACUACAGCUGGUAGGUCCUGCGUUGCUAUCAAGAUUUAUUUUUCAGGUGUUUCACUGUAGCUCUGCAUUCAAUGGAACCGUGGUAUUCCUUCACUAAAUGCCAUCUCUGUUUUCCUACAGCCAAAAGGGGUGAGAAUGGAGAAGUGAAAGGCAGCAUUCUGACUCUGAAAGAGUUCCCCAGAAUCCUGAUGUGGAGUACAGUGAGCGUUGCUUGUCUGAAAUCAGAGCAGCUUUUCAUGUCAGAAAGCCAGACAGAUUUAGAUUUUCAGCAUCUGAGACUGAAAUACAUACAAAAUUCAAUUCUAGUGUCUUGGUGAUCUUGCUGAUCACCAAAUGCUGAUAUAUGGGCAGAUUCACCACCUCAGUACAAAUUCUAUUUCUGUUAUUUUUUGUGCUAAAUAGUAUUAUUACGGGACAGAAUCAAAAUUUGGACUGAGUUGCAGCAGUGUGAUCCAUUGGCAGUGCUGUGCCAACAGCAGAGGAAUGGGCAACUCUGUCAUCUCACACAAACGAUGAACAGAUCCGAUAAGCCCCUGUUUUAGUAUGCUUUGGCAAUGUUACACAAUCCCUGAAGAUAUUCAAGGCCAGGCUUGAUGGGUUCCUGGGCAGCCUAAUCGAGUGGUUGGCAACCCUGCCCCCAGCAGGAGAGUUGGAACCAGAUCAUCUUUUGAGGUCCCUUCCAACCCAAGCCAUUCUAGGAUUCUAUGGUAUUGUGAAAGCUGGUUGUAUUAAUAUGAGCUUACUUAUAUCU